GGGCUGUAUUUCCUCAGGCCACUUUACUGUGGGAUUGACAGUUUUGCCUAAUAUUUAAUGAAAAUUUGCUUUCUUUAUUUUGUCACAUUACACUUGGCUGUGAAGGUUUGUUAACUUAUGUCUUUAAGGAUCACUAAUGCCAGUGUACUGUGAGGAUAAACAUGAGUGGUAGAUGGUGAAGACUGAAAAACUCUUUGUAACAAACCACCCAUGCAUAUAUAUAUUUUAUAUAGAGGCAUACAUAUAUAUACAUGUACACAAUAGUUGCAAAGUUAAUCUUUAACACCUAUUCCACUCCCAGACCAGCUUUGGGAUUAUUUUUGAUCACUGUUUAAGAUCCUUCAGUAUACAAUCUGCAGUGUGACAAUCAUAUAAAACUGUGUCAGAGUCAGGCAGUGACUUUAAUUGUAGCACAAAUGUAAUGUGACACGAACAAUGCACCCUGGUGUUCUGAGGAAUAACACAAUGCGUCACAGUGGCAAUGUGUAAAUUAGGUUUCUCCAAGUAGCAUUGUUAUGGAAAAUAUGGCCUUCAGAUGAAGCUAUUGCACAGCAGCCCAGGAAUUCGAGCUCAGGAGUCUUUCUUCAUAGAGUUCCCACUUUCACUACUGAGAAUAUGCAUCACUUGAAAGGCCACACAGACACAGGAGGAAGAAACAUUCACCUGUCUACCAAUGCAGCAUGUGAAAGGAUCUGGGAGCUGGGAAGAGCACUACAGGUCAUCUUUUUGCAAUAUUCACAUUUAAACCAUGAGAAGGAAAUCUCUGAUUUAUGAUAAAAUGAGGUGAACUUUUGCCUCUGGUAUUAAAAAAAUAAAAUAAACACAAGGAAUAUUAAACA
RNAcentral lists this long non-coding RNA (839 nucleotides) under Anas platyrhynchos platyrhynchos (common mallard). RNAcentral describes it as "lncRNA (ENSAPLG00000017407.1)". The record is from RNAcentral. Lineage: Eukaryota; Metazoa; Chordata; Aves; Anseriformes; Anatidae.